Molecule: ribosomal RNA, 254 nt
Filed under: uncultured bacterium
Lineage: Bacteria
Description: partial 16S ribosomal RNA
Rfam family: Bacterial small subunit ribosomal RNA
Source: RNAcentral
UACAGAGGUCUCAAGCGUUGUUCGGAUUCAUUGGGCGUAAAGGGUGCGUAGGCGGUUUUGUAAGUCUUGUGUGAAAUCUUCAGGCUCAACCUGGAGACGCCACUCGAUACUGCCAUGGCUAGAGUCCGGUAGGGGACCACGGAAUUCCUGGUGUAGCGGUGAAAUGCGCAGAUAUCAGGAGGAACACCGGUGGCGAAGGCGGUGGUCUGGGCCGGCACUGACGCUGAGGAGCGAAAGCGUGGGUAGCAAACAGG